RNAcentral lists this ribosomal RNA (468 nucleotides) under uncultured bacterium. RNAcentral describes it as "partial 16S ribosomal RNA". It matches the Rfam family "Bacterial small subunit ribosomal RNA", at positions 28 to 507 of the family's 1533-position model. The record is from RNAcentral.
GACGAACGCUGGCGGCGUGCUUAACACAUGCAAGUCGAACGGAAAGGCCCUGCUUUUGUGGGGUGCUCGAGUGGCGAACGGGUGAGUAACACGUGAGUAACCUGCCCUUGACUUUGGGAUAACUUCAGGAAACUGGGGCUAAUACCGGAUAGGAGCUCCUGCUGCAUGGUGGGGGUUGGAAAGUUUCGGCGGUUGGGGAUGGACUCGCGGCUUAUCAGCUUGUUGGUGGGGUAGUGGCUUACCAAGGCUUUGACGGGUAGCCGGCCUGAGAGGGUGACCGGCCACAUUGGGACUGAGAUACGGCCCAGACUGCUACGGGAGGCAGCAGUGGGGAAUAUUGCACAAUGGGCGGAAGCCUGAUGCAGCAACGCCGCGUGCGGGAUGACGGCCUUCGGGUUGUAAACCGCUUUCGCCUGUGGCGAAGCGUGAGUGACGGUAAUGGGUAAAGAAGCACCGGCUAACUACGUG